Molecule: RNA transcript, 2209 nt
Organism: Dendrobium catenatum
Lineage: Eukaryota; Viridiplantae; Streptophyta; Magnoliopsida; Asparagales; Orchidaceae
Gene name: probable GTP-binding protein OBGC1, chloroplastic
Exons: 8
Source: RefSeq, a predicted model, not a curated record
AUGGCGUGUGCAUCCGUAGCUCUCUCCUGCUACAUUCUCAGUGCUGGCAGCAGCCAUAAGUCCAGAAAAAGUAGAAAAUUUUAUCGCGAAAAACCUAAACCCUCUGAUUCUCUUCACUUUCCUCCGGCCAUUCAUUCCGCCGGCGGGGAGGCUACUUCUUACACCCGGCUUCCCUUAAAGGACGACUUCCAACUCGAUCUUUCUUCGGGUCUCUCUACUCCAUUUUAUGACGUCAUCAAGCUCCGCGAAGCGGCAGUCCUGGCCGUGGAUUCUCGGUCGAAAAAGCCUUCUAAACCCACAGGUUUUUUGGAAGAGAUCGGUGAAGGAUACGACGUAGAAGAAGAGUUUCUUGGAUUUGACUCGGAUGAUGAUGAUGAGGUCAUCUUUGGAAUUGAGUCGGACGACGUUGGCGUGGAAGGGCUCGAUGAGGACGAGGAGUUGAAGGAGGAUGAUGUCAAGGAGAAAGGUGUGCCUGCGGUUAUGCGCUGCUUCGAUCGAGCAAAGAUUUACGUGAAGGCUGGGGAUGGAGGUAACGGAGUCGUGGCGUUCCGGAGAGAGAAAUAUGUGCCCUAUGGCGGCCCUUCUGGCGGGGACGGUGGUAAAGGAGGCGAUGUUUAUGUGGAGGUUGAUGGGUCGAUGAAUUCCCUUCUUCCUUUUAGGAAAAAUGUCCACUUUAGGGCUGGGAGAGGCGGGCAUGGCCUGGGGAAGAAGCAGGCAGGGGGGAAGGGAGAGGAUGUAGUGGUGAAGGUGGCUCCAGGGACUGUCAUCAGGGAAUCGGGGAAGGGACCAGCGGAAGGGGUGUUGUUACUGGAGCUGUUGAAUCCUGGACAAAGAGCAUUGCUUUUGCCCGGUGGAAGGGGCGGGAGGGGUAAUGCUUCAUUCAAGACAGGGACAAGGAAGGCCCCAAAGAUUGCAGAGAACGGGGAAGCUGGCGCUGAAAUGUGGUUGGACCUGGAGUUAAAGUUGGUUGCUGAUGUUGGUAUAGUAGGUGCUCCAAAUGCUGGGAAAAGCACACUUUUGAGUGCUAUAACUGCUGCUCAGCCAUCAAUAGCUGAUUAUCCCUUCACCACACUACUUCCAAAUUUAGGUGUGGUGUCAAUGGAUUAUGAUGAAACCAUGGUUGUUGCAGAUUUGCCAGGUUUGCUUGAAGGUGCACAUAAAGGUUUUGGUUUAGGGCAUGAAUUUCUACGGCAUACUGAAAGAUGUGCUGUGCUGGUGCAUGUUGUUGAUGGUUCCAGUCAACGGCCAGAUUAUGAGUUUGAUGCAGUUCGUUUGGAACUGGAACUAUUUAGCCCGGGGUUGUCAGAAAAGCCAUACAUUGUUGCAUUUAAUAAAAUGGAUCUUCCAGAAGCAUAUGAAAAAUGGCAUUCAUUUAAAGAAUAUCUUAAAAACCGUGGAAUUGAGCCUUUAUGCAUGAGUGCAAUGUACGGUCAGGGAACGAGUGAUGUUAUUGCUGCAGCAUAUUCACUUCUACAGAAGGAAAUGGCUAAGAGGGCUGUGGAAGAAGAAUGGGCGCAGUCAGAAAAUCUAAAUCAUGUUGCUGAUUCCAUAGAAAAGCAAAGAAGUGCCUCUAUGAAUGAUUUUGAAAUAUUUCAUGAAAGUAGUUCAAACACAUGGCGUGUAGUUGGAGCUGGAAUUGAACGAUUUGUUCAGAUGACAAAUUGGCGGUAUAAUGAAUCUCUUAGAAGGUUCCAACAUGCUUUGGAGGCAUGUGGUGUGAACAAAGCUUUGCGUAAAGGGGGUGUAAGAGAAGGAGAUACAGUAAUUGUGGGUGAGAUGGAGAUGGUUUGGAACGAUGGGAAUGAACAGCCAGGGCCUUCGGGCACAAAAAAAGGAGUAUCUGGAUCUGUUAGAUGGCCUCAAUUUGGUUAAUUCAAUAUUUAUAUGUAAGAAAGUUGUCUCAAAUGAAGCUGAAAUCUUGAACGAUGCUGAACGCGUCUAAGCUCCUGGUUCUCAAGUUGGAGAAGAUGCCAAGGCUCUAUUUUGCUUAAUUUUUCAGCAGGCAAAAAGGCAUUAGUUUUGAGUUUAAGCUUAUUCUAUCAGUGAACUAUGCAGGAUGAAAAAUGUGCUCCUACAGUUACUGCUGCUAGAAAUGUAUGUGUUGAUGCUUAUAGACCCUGUAAUGAUUUUGAUUUGUACCAAAUCAGAUUAGAUCUGUCAUUAAUGAGUUAAUAAAAAUUUCAUAAUAGUAAUAAUAUUAUUAUUAUUA